CUACGGGUCGCUCCAGUGAGGAAUAUUGCACAAUGGGGGAAACCCUGAUGCAGCAACGCCGCGUGGAGGAUGACACUUUUCGGAGCGUAAACUCCUUUUAUAUAGGAAGAAGAUGACGGUACUAUAUGAAUAAGCGCCGGCUAACUCCGUGCCAGCAGCCGCGGUAAUAAGGAGGGCGCAAGCGUUACUCGGAAUCACUGGGCGUAAAGAGCGUGUAGGCGGAUUAAAAAGUCAGAAGUGAAAUCCUAUAGCUUAACUAUAGAACUGCUUCUGAAACUCUUAAUCUAGAAUAUGGGAGAGGGAGAUGGAAUUUCUGGUGUAGGGGUAAAAUCCGUAGAGAUCAGAAGGAAUACCGAUUGCGAAGGCGAUCUACUAGAACAUUAUUGACGCUGAGACGCGAAAGCGUGGGGAGCAAACAGGAUUAGAUACCCUAGUAGUC
RNAcentral lists this ribosomal RNA (439 nucleotides) under uncultured bacterium. RNAcentral describes it as "partial 16S ribosomal RNA". It matches the Rfam family "Bacterial small subunit ribosomal RNA", at positions 339 to 795 of the family's 1533-position model. The record is from RNAcentral.